Molecule: ribosomal RNA, 429 nt
Filed under: uncultured archaeon
Lineage: Archaea
Description: bacterial SSU rRNA
Rfam family: Archaeal small subunit ribosomal RNA
Source: RNAcentral
UACCUGCAGCUCGAGUGGUAACCGCUAUUAUUGGGCCUAAAGCGUCCGUAGCCGGUUUGGUAAAUAUCUGGGUAAAUCGUGAGGCUUAACUUCACGAAUUUCGGAUAGACUGCCAGACUUGGGAUCGGGGGAGGUCAGAGGUACUCCAGGGGUAGCGGUGAAAUGUUGUAAUCCUUGGAGGACCACCGGUAGCGAAGGCGUCUGACUAGAACGAGUCCGACGGUGAGGGACGAAGCCCUGGGGCGCAAACCGGAUUAGAUACCCGGGUAGUCCAGGGUGUAAACUAUGUGGGCUUUGUAUUGGAGGUCCCACGUGGGCGUCCAGUGCAGAAGAGAAGUUGUUAAGCCCACCGCCUGGGAAGUACGGUCGCAAGGCUGAAACUUAAAGGAAUUGGCGAGGGAGCACAGCAACGGGAGGAGCGUGCGGUUU